RNAcentral lists this ribosomal RNA (735 nucleotides) under Pristionchus sp. JU3342. RNAcentral's name for it is "SSU rRNA". It matches the Rfam family "Eukaryotic small subunit ribosomal RNA", at positions 93 to 854 of the family's 1831-position model. Lineage: Eukaryota; Metazoa; Nematoda; Chromadorea; Rhabditida; Neodiplogasteridae. The record is from RNAcentral.
ACGGCUCAUUAUUAACACCCGUAAUCUACCCAGUUUUCGAAUCCUAAACGGAUAUCUGCGUUAAUUUUGGAGCUAAUACGUGCUAAAAGUCACUUCUAGCAAUAGUUGUGCGCACUUAUUAGAUCAAGGCCGACUGGGGCAACCCUUUUGGUGACUCUGAAUAAUUUUGCGGAUCGCAUGGUCUUGUACCGGCGACGUACUGGUCGAGCGGGUGCCCUAUCAACUAUUGAUGGAAGUCUAUGUGUCUUCCAUGGUUGUAACGGGUAACGGAGAAUAAGGGUUCGACUCCGGAGAGCUAGCCUUAGAAACGGCUAUCACAUCCAAGGAAGGCAGCAGGCGCGUAAAUUACCCACUCUCAAUUCGAGGAGGUAGUGACUAUCAAUAACGAGACAGAUCUCUUUGAGGUCUGUCAUUGAAAUGAGCACAACUUAAAGACUUUAACGAAGUCUAUGGGAGGGCAAGUCUGGUGCCAGCAGCCGCGGUAAUUCCAGCUCCCAACGNUGUAUAUCGUCAUUGCUGCGGUUAAAAAGCUCGUAGUUGGAUCUUAGUUCACGACAGUAGUUCACCUUGUGUGAUACUGCUUGUCUGGACUGUUUCGCCGGUUUUCCUUGGUUUCGGCCUUGGUGACUGGUGUUGUAACUUUGAUUAAAUCAAUGUGAUUAAAACAGGCGUUUGCUUGAAUGCUUUAUCAUGGAAUAAUAGAAUAUGACUUCGGUCCAUUCUGUUGGUCUUGGG